This 802-nucleotide ribosomal RNA is filed under the name uncultured Bacteroidota bacterium. RNAcentral's name for it is "bacterial SSU rRNA". It matches the Rfam family "Bacterial small subunit ribosomal RNA", at positions 1 to 799 of the family's 1533-position model. The record is from RNAcentral. Lineage: Bacteria; Pseudomonadati; Bacteroidota.
AGGGAGUUUGAUCCUGGCUCAGGAUGAACGCUAGCUACAGGCUUAACACAUGCAAGUCGAGGGGCAGCAUGGGAUUAGCUUGCUAAUCCUGAUGGCGACCGGCGCACGGGUGAGUAACGCGUAUCCAACCUUCCCCUUACUCUGGGAUAGCCCGGUGAAAACCGGAUUAACACCAGAUGGUUUCAUUAGAUGGCAUCUGACGAUGAAUAAAGUUUACGGUAAGGGAUGGGGAUGCGUCUGAUUAGCUUGUUGGCGGGGUAACGGCCCACCAAGGCAACGAUCAGUAGGGGUUCUGAGAGGAAGGUCCCCCACAUUGGAACUGAGACACGGUCCAAACUCCUACGGGAGGCAGCAGUGAGGAAUAUUGGUCAAUGGGCGAGAGCCUGAACCAGCCAAGUAGCGUGCAGGACGACGGCCCUAUGGGUUGUAAACUGCUUUUGUGCGGGAAUAAAGUCAUCCACGUGUGGAUGUUUGCAUGUACCGCAAGAAUAAGGACCGGCUAAUUCCGUGCCAGCAGCCGCGGUAAUACGGAAGGUCCGGGCGUUAUCCGGAUUUAUUGGGUUUAAAGGGAGCGUAGGCCGUUCCUUAAGCGUGUUGUGAAAUGUAGGCGCCCAACGUCUGCACUGCAGCGCGAACUGGGGGACUUGAGUACGCGGGAAGCAGGCGGAAUUCGUCGUGUAGCGGUGAAAUGCUUAGAUAUGACGAAGAACUCCGAUUGCGAAGGCAGCCUGCUGUAGCGCCACUGACGCUGAUGCUCGAAAGCGUGGGUAUCGAACAGGAUUAGAUACCCUGGUAGUCCCCU